This 1380-nucleotide ribosomal RNA is filed under the name Methylomonas sp. Its description in RNAcentral is "bacterial SSU rRNA". It matches the Rfam family "Bacterial small subunit ribosomal RNA". The record is from RNAcentral. Lineage: Bacteria; Pseudomonadati; Pseudomonadota; Gammaproteobacteria; Methylococcales; Methylococcaceae.
UUGAUCCUGGCUCAGAUUGAACGCUGGCGGUAUGCUUAACACAUGCAAGUCGAACGCUGAUAAGUGCUUGCACCGUUUGAUGAGUGGCGGACGGGUGAGUAAUGCAUAGGAAUCUGCCUAUUAGUGGGGGACAACGUGGGGAAACUCACGCUAAUACUGCAUCYGAUCUACGGUGAAACCGACGGGAGCUUCGUGCCUUGCGCCUAUAGAUGAGCCUAUGUGCAAUUAGCUAGUUGGUGGGGUAAAGGCCUACCAAGGCGACGAUCCGUAGCUGGUCUGAGAGGAUGAUCAGCCACACUGGGACUGAGACACGGCCCAGACUCCUACGGGAGGCAGCAGUGGGGAAUAUUGGACAAUGGGCGAAAGCCUGAUCCAGCAAUACCGCGUGUGUGAAGAAGGCCUGAGGGUUGUAAAGCACUUUCAAUGGGAAGGACACCUAUCGGUUAAUACCCGGUAGACUGACAUUACCCAUACAAGAAGCACCGGCUAACUCCGUGCCAGCAGCCGCGGUAAUACGGAGGGUGCAAGCGUUAAUCGGAAUUACUGGGCGUAAAGCGUGCGUAGGCGGUUGUUUAAGUCAGAUGUGAAACCCCGGGCUUAACCUGGGAACUGCAUUUGAUACUGGGCAACUAGAGUUGAGUAGAGGGGAGUGGAAUUGCAGGUGUAGCGGUGAAAUGCGUAGAGAUCUGAAGGAACACCAGUGGCGAAGGCGGCUCCCUGGACUCAAACUGACGCUGAGGUACGAAAGCGUGGGUAGCAAACAGGAUUAGAUACCCUGGUAGUCCACGCCGUAAACGAUGUCAACUAACUGUUGGGUUCUUUAAGAGCUUAGUACUGGAGCUAUUUAAUUCGAUNCAACGNGAAGAACCUUACCUACCCUUGACAUCCUCGGAACUUGUCAGAGAUGACUUGGUGCCUUCGGGAACCGAGAGACAGGUGCUGCAUGGCUGUCGUCAGCUCGUGUUGUGAAAUGUUGGGUUAAGUCCCGUAACGAGCGCGGCCCUUAUCCUUAGUUGCCAGCAAGUAAUGUCGCGAACUCUAGAGAGACUGCCGGUGAUAAACCGGAGGAAGGUGGGGAUGACGUCAGGUCAUCAUGCCCCUUAUGACCUGGGCUACACACNNNCUACAAUGGUACAAACAGCACGCCGUAAACUCGCGAGAGUAAGCAAAUACCACAAAGCCGGUCUCAGUCCGGAUCGCAGUCUGCAACUCGACUGCAUGAAGUCGGAAUCGCUAGUAAUCGCGGAUCAGAAUGCCGCGGUUAAUACGUUCCCGGGCCUUGUACACACCGCCCGUCACACCAUAGGCGUGGGUUGCAGAAGAAGUAGGUAGCUUAACCUUCGGGAUUGGUCUCACCACNNUGUGAUUCAUGACUGGGGG